CCCUUAGACGUUCUGGGCCGCACGCGCGCUACACUGACCAGUACAACAAGCAUCCGUCCUUGGCCGACAGGCCCGGGCAAUCUUUGAACGCUGGUCGUGAUGGGGAUAGACUUUUGCAAUUUUUGGUCUUCAACGAGGAAUUCCUAGUAAACGCAAGUCAUCAACUUGCAUUGAUUACGUCCCUGCCCUUUGUACACACCGCCCGUCGCACCUACCGAUUGAAUGGUCCGGUGAAGCCUCCGGAUUGGCGCGCACCUCGGUGCCGCCGAGAAGUUGGCUAAACCUUACCAUUUAGAGGAAGGUGAAGUCGUAACA
This 315-nucleotide ribosomal RNA is filed under the name uncultured eukaryote. Its description in RNAcentral is "partial 18S ribosomal RNA". It matches the Rfam family "Eukaryotic small subunit ribosomal RNA", at positions 1470 to 1796 of the family's 1831-position model. The record is from RNAcentral.